This 520-nucleotide unclassified non-coding RNA is filed under the name uncultured Glomus. RNAcentral's name for it is "SSU rRNA". It matches the Rfam family "Eukaryotic small subunit ribosomal RNA", at positions 569 to 1093 of the family's 1831-position model. Lineage: Eukaryota; Fungi; Glomeromycota; Glomeromycetes; Glomerales; Glomeraceae. The record is from RNAcentral.
AGCAGCCGCGGUAAUUCCAGCUCCAAUAGCGUAUAUUAAAGUUGUUGCAGUUAAAAGCUCGUAGUUGAAUUUCGGGAUCAAUACGUCGGUCGUGCUUCGGUACGUACUGGCGUAAUUGAUUUCUCCCUUCUGACGAACCAUGAUGUCAUUAACUUGGUGUCAUGGGAAAUCAGGACUGUUACUUUGAAAAAAUUAGAGUGUUUAAAGCAGGCUCACGCUUGAAUACAUUAGCAUGGAAUAAUGAAAUAGGACGUUCGAUCCUAUUUUGUUGGUUUUUAGGAUCAACGUAAUGAUUAAUAGGGAUAGUUGGGGCAUUAGUAUUCAAUUGUCAGAGGUGAAAUUCUUGGAUUUAUUGAAGACUAACUACUGCGAAAGCAUUUGCCAAGGAUGUUUUCAUUAAUCAAGAACGAAAGUUAGGGGAUCGAAGACGAUCAGAUACCGUCGUAGUCUUAACCAUAAACUAUGCCGACUAGGGAUCGGAUGAUGUUAAUUUUUUAAUGACUCAUUCGGCGCCUUACGG